This 24-nucleotide non-coding RNA is filed under the name Arabidopsis thaliana (thale cress). Lineage: Eukaryota; Viridiplantae; Streptophyta; Magnoliopsida; Brassicales; Brassicaceae. The record is from RNAcentral.
UGUAGAUCGGCUAAGCACUGCAUA